This 299-nucleotide signal recognition particle RNA is filed under the name Aotus nancymaae (Ma's night monkey). RNAcentral's name for it is "Metazoan signal recognition particle RNA (ENSANAG00000010618.1)". It matches the Rfam family "Metazoan signal recognition particle RNA". From Rfam's summary of the family: The signal recognition particle (SRP) is a universally conserved ribonucleoprotein. It is involved in the co-translational targeting of proteins to membranes. The record is from RNAcentral. Lineage: Eukaryota; Metazoa; Chordata; Mammalia; Primates; Aotidae.
GCUGGGUGCGGUGGCACGUGCCUGUAGUCCCAGCUACUCGGGAGGCUGAGGUGGGAGGAUCACUUGAGCCCAGGAGUUCUGGGGUGUGGUGCGCUAUGCCAAUCGGGUGUCUGCACUAAGUUCGGCAUCAAUAUGGUGACCUCCCGGGAGCAGGGGACCACCAGGUUGCCUAAGGAGGGGUGAACCAGCCCAGAUCGGGAACGGAGCAGGUCAAAACUCCCAUGCCAAUCAGUAGCGGGAUCGCGUCUGUGCAUAGCCACUGCACGCCAGCCUGGGCAACAUAGCAAGACCCCAUCUCU